RNAcentral lists this RNase P RNA (424 nucleotides) under Neolewinella lacunae. Its description in RNAcentral is "Bacterial RNase P class A". It matches the Rfam family "Bacterial RNase P class A". From Rfam's summary of the family: Ribonuclease P (RNase P) is a ubiquitous endoribonuclease, found in archaea, bacteria and eukarya as well as chloroplasts and mitochondria. Its best characterised activity is the generation of mature 5'-ends of tRNAs by cleaving the 5'-leader elements of precursor-tRNAs. The record is from Rfam by way of RNAcentral. Lineage: Bacteria; Pseudomonadati; Bacteroidota; Saprospiria; Saprospirales; Lewinellaceae.
CAAGUUCGUCCACUCCACCGCUGGCGGCCCUCCUUUCGGGGAGUGUGACCGCAAGAGGAAAGUCCGGGCAACGCAGGGCACCACGCCGGCUAACGGCCGGGGUUCCGCAGCGAUGCGGGAUACGGAAAGUGCCACAGAAAGCUAUACCGCCCCGCAGCAGUGUGGGGUAAGGGUGAAAACGUGCGGUAAGAGCGCACGCCCUCCGGUGGCAACACGGGAGGGGGGUAAACCCCGUGGGUUGAAAUACCAAGCAGUGUUGCCCUUGCGCGGUUUUGCCGUAGCGGGGGCGGUCGGCCCGGCCGUACACCCAGCAACACGGGUAGGUAGAUAGAGCCGGUGAGCAAUUGCCGGCCUGGAUAAAUGGUGGAGCUCCGGCGGCAACGUCCGGAUGACAGAACCCGGCUUAUCGGAACGAACUUGUUUA